RNAcentral lists this ribosomal RNA (1274 nucleotides) under Enterococcus faecium. RNAcentral's name for it is "bacterial SSU rRNA". It matches the Rfam family "Bacterial small subunit ribosomal RNA", at positions 8 to 1254 of the family's 1533-position model. The record is from RNAcentral. Lineage: Bacteria; Bacillati; Bacillota; Bacilli; Lactobacillales; Enterococcaceae.
AGAGUUUGAUCCUGGCUCAGGACGAACGCUGGCGGCGUGCCUAAUACAUGCAAGUCGAACGCUUCUUUUUCCACCGGAGCUUGCUCCACCGGAAAAAGAGGAGUGGCGAACGGGUGAGUAACACGUGGGUAACCUGCCCAUCAGAAGGGGAUAACACUUGGAAACAGGUGCUAAUACCGUAUAACAAUCAAAACCGCAUGGUUUUGAUUUGAAAGGCGCUUUCGGGUGUCGCUGAUGGAUGGACCCGCGGUGCAUUAGCUAGUUGGUGAGGUAACGGCUCACCAAGGCCACGAUGCAUAGCCGACCUGAGAGGGUGAUCGGCCACAUUGGGACUGAGACACGGCCCAAACUCCUACGGGAGGCAGCAGUAGGGAAUCUUCGGCAAUGGACGAAAGUCUGACCGAGCAACGCCGCGUGAGUGAAGAAGGUUUUCGGAUCGUAAAACUCUGUUGUUAGAGAAGAACAAGGAUGAGAGUAACUGUUCAUCCCUUGACGGUAUCUAACCAGAAAGCCACGGCUAACUACGUGCCAGCAGCCGCGGUAAUACGUAGGUGGCAAGCGUUGUCCGGAUUUAUUGGGCGUAAAGCGAGCGCAGGCGGUUUCUUAAGUCUGAUGUGAAAGCCCCCGGCUCAACCGGGGAGGGUCAUUGGAAACUGGGAGACUUGAGUGCAGAAGAGGAGAGUGGAAUUCCAUGUGUAGCGGUGAAAUGCGUAGAUAUAUGGAGGAACACCAGUGGCGAAGGCGGCUCUCUGGUCUGUAACUGACGCUGAGGCUCGAAAGCGUGGGGAGCAAACAGGAUUAGAUACCCUGGUAGUCCACGCCGUAAACGAUGAGUGCUAAGUGUUGGAGGGUUUCCGCCCUUCAGUGCUGCAGCUAACGCAUUAAGCACUCCGCCUGGGGAGUACGACCGCAAGGUUGAAACUCAAAGGAAUUGACGGGGGCCCGCACAAGCGGUGGAGCAUGUGGUUUAAUUCGAAGCAACGCGAAGAACCUUACCAGGUCUUGACAUCCUUUGACCACUCUAGAGAUAGAGCUUCCCCUUCGGGGGCAAAGUGACAGGUGGUGCAUGGUUGUCGUCAGCUCGUGUCGUGAGAUGUUGGGUUAAGUCCCGCAACGAGCGCAACCCUUAUUGUUAGUUGCCAUCAUUCAGUUGGGCACUCUAGCAAGACUGCCGGUGACAAACCGGAGGAAGGUGGGGAUGACGUCAAAUCAUCAUGCCCCUUAUGACCUGGGCUACACACGUGCUACAAUGGGAAGUACAACUGUCUCUUAUA